CGGUUGCUACCGGGAUGUAGGAAUCUCCAGGCGGGGCGAGAGCAUCCAAGCCGGCUGGGAGCUGUGGAGCAGUAAACAGAGCGGUGGCAUCCAUCUCGGCUUCAGCAGAGUCCACGGCGAUGACAUCCAGGUGAAGGGAAAUUGCUGGUAAGAAUUCAAAGAGUUCUGGACUUCUUCUUGGACUAAACUAUGUGGAUAACAUGACCUGGAUGAAGGAGAAUCUUCACAGACACGCUGGUAAGAAUUAUUAUUUUUAUUAUUAAAUAAUUUUGAUGAAUUUAAAAGCGUUUCACUUAAUAUCCAACUUCAAAUAUUUAAGAAUGUUUUUGAUCAGAAAAUACUAAAAUAUAUAUUAUUUAAAUGUGUCGUUGUCACCAAAGCUGUCAUUUGAGUGAGUCAGAUUCAUGGAGGAACAUUCAAACAGGACAAGACUAAAGCUAAAAAAAAAAAAAAACAAGAGAAGAAGAACAAGAACUUUCUGUGCUUUUAGUUGUAUCUGUUGUGCUCUAUUCCCUGUUGUCUUUUGUUUUGGAACCAGGAGAAAACAUUAAACCCUAAACACUGACCGACGUGCUCUGAAAAGUUGGCUGCAACCCAUCCUGAGUUUCUCAACGUUUUGGCCUCUCACGGAGCCUCAAGCCUCCACUGAGUCCAGCGAGGUCUUCACAGGCACCAGGGUCAGAACUGAAGGACGACGUGACCGACACCGGGCGAUCGACAGAAGAGAACAGGAAGUUCACCUCUCUUGAAGUCCAGCAGGAACCAGCGGUAGCAGAAGUAGAAACUAAAGACGUUAUCUGUCACCUGGAUCAGUGACCUCAUGUUGGCAAAGUGUGUGUCCAUGGCUCCACCGUUAGGGAAGUUCUGACUCAUCCUCUUCAUUAGCUGAGUGAAGCAGCUGUCCAUGUACAGGACACAACAACAACAACAACAACAACAACAACAGGAGGAGCAGAGACUGUUUGUUCUCACCAUCAUCCAGGAUGACCAUGAGCGGAGCCAGCAGGUCACACAUGCCCUGAACGUAGCCCAUUUCUAGGUGUUCCCACACAUAACUCACAAGCUGCAUCUUUCUUCAAUGCAACCAUGGCUGUGCUGCUGCACCUCUCUACACUGCCCCCUUGUGGAAAAACAGCACAGCAACUGAAAGGGAUGGUGACGUCCCCUCUGCAGACGCCCCGUUUGUCACCAGUUUGUCCAGCUGGCUACACAGCCUCUCUUCAGUCAACGAGUCCUGACGCUCCGUGCGAACACUGGGAGUCCUGGUCUCCUCCCCGCCGCCCCCUU
Cynoglossus semilaevis (tongue sole) is the source of this 1287-nucleotide long non-coding RNA. RefSeq lists it as uncharacterized. NCBI's taxonomy places the organism in Eukaryota, Metazoa, Chordata, Actinopteri, Pleuronectiformes, Cynoglossidae. The transcript is spliced from 7 exons. The record is from RefSeq and is a predicted model, not a curated record.